RNAcentral lists this ribosomal RNA (305 nucleotides) under uncultured bacterium. RNAcentral's name for it is "bacterial SSU rRNA". It matches the Rfam family "Bacterial small subunit ribosomal RNA", at positions 337 to 657 of the family's 1533-position model. The record is from RNAcentral.
UCCUACGGGGGGCAGCAGUGGGGAAUAUUGGGCAAUGGGCGCAAGCCUGACCCAGCAACGCCGCGUGAAGGAAGAAGGCUUUCGGGUUGUAAACUUCUUUUGACAGGGAAGAGCAGAAGACGGUACCUGUCGAAUAAGCCACGGCUAACUACGUGCCAGCAGCCGCGGUAAUACGUAGGUGGCAAGCGUUAUCCGGAUUUACUGGGUGUAAAGGGCGCGUAGGCGGGAUGGCAAGUCAGAUGUGAAAUCCAGGGGCUCAACCCCUGACCUGCAUUUGAAACUGUCGUUCUUGAGUACUGGAGAGG